CCUACGGGGGGCAGCAGUGGGGAAUAUUGGACAAUGGGGGGAACCCUGAUCCAGCCAUGCCGCGUGUGUGAAGAAGGCCCUCGGGUUGUAAAGCACUUUCAGUGAGGAAGAACGCCUGGUGGUUAAUACCCAUCAGGAAAGACAUCACUCACAGAAGAAGCACCGGCUAACUCCGUGGCCAGCAGCCGCGGUAAUACGGAGGGUGCGAGCGUUAAUCGGAAUUACUGGGCGUAAAGCGCGCGUAGGUGGCUUGAUAAGCCGGUUGUGAAAGCCCCGGGCUCAACCUGGGAACGGCAUCCGGAACUGUCAAGCUAGAGUGAAGGAGAGGAAGGUAGAAUUCCCGGUGUAGCGGUGAAAUGCGUAGGGAUCGGGAGGAAUACCAGUGGCGAGGGCGGCCUUCUGGACUGAACCUGACACUGAGGUGCGAAAGCGUGGGUAGCAAACAGGAUAAGAUACCCUGUAGUC
This 465-nucleotide ribosomal RNA is filed under the name Vreelandella stevensii. Its description in RNAcentral is "partial 16S ribosomal RNA". It matches the Rfam family "Bacterial small subunit ribosomal RNA", at positions 338 to 795 of the family's 1533-position model. Lineage: Bacteria; Pseudomonadati; Pseudomonadota; Gammaproteobacteria; Oceanospirillales; Halomonadaceae. The record is from RNAcentral.